GGUGAACGCUGGCGGCGUGCCUAAUACAUGCAAGUCGAGCGAACGGACGAGAAGCUUGUUUCUCUGAUGUUAGCGGCGGACGGGUGAGUAACACGUGGAUAACCUACCUAUAAGACUGGGAUAACUUCGGGAAACCGUAGCUAAUACCGGAUAAUAUUUUGAACCGCAUGGUUCAAAAGUGAAAGACGGUCUUGCUGUCACUUAUAGAUGGAUCCGGGCUGCAUUAGCUAGUUGGUAAGGUAACGGCUUACCAAGGCAACGAUGCAUAGCCGACCUGAGAGGGUGAUCGGCCACACUGGAACUGAGACACGGUCCAGACUCCUACGGGAGGCAGCAGUAGGGAAUCUUCCGCAAUGGGCGAAAGCCUGACGGAGCAACGCCGCGUGAGUGAUGAAGGUCUUCGGAUCGUAAAACUCUGUUAUUAGGGAAGAACAUAUGUGUAAGUAACUGUGCACAUCUUGACGGUACCUAAUCAGAAAGCCACGGCUAACUACGUG
RNAcentral lists this ribosomal RNA (497 nucleotides) under uncultured bacterium. RNAcentral's name for it is "partial 16S ribosomal RNA". It matches the Rfam family "Bacterial small subunit ribosomal RNA", at positions 28 to 507 of the family's 1533-position model. The record is from RNAcentral.